Molecule: ribosomal RNA, 420 nt
Filed under: uncultured cyanobacterium
Lineage: Bacteria; Bacillati; Cyanobacteriota
Description: bacterial SSU rRNA
Rfam family: Bacterial small subunit ribosomal RNA
Source: RNAcentral
AACGCUGGCGGCGUGCUUAACACAUGCAAGUCGAACGAACCUUCGGGUUAGUGGCGGACGGGUGAGUAACGCGUGGGAAUCUGCCCUCAGGAGGGGGAUAACGGUUGGAAACGGCCGCUAAUACCCCAUAUGCCGAGAGGUGAAAUGAAUUUCGCCUGAGGAUGAGCCCGCGUCUGAUUAGCUAGUUGGUGAGGUAAGAGCUCACCAAGGCAUCGAUCAGUAGCUGGUCUGAGAGGAUGAUCAGCCACACUGGGACUGAGACACGGCCCAGACUCCUACGGGAGGCAGCAGUGGGGAAUUUUCCGCAAUGGGCGAAAGCCUGACGGAGCAACGCCGCGUGAGGGAUGAAGGCCUCUGGGCUGUAAACCUCUUUUAUCAAGGAAGAAGAUCUGACGGUACUUGAUGAAUAAGCCACGGCUA